Molecule: long non-coding RNA, 106 nt
Organism: Cotesia glomerata
Lineage: Eukaryota; Metazoa; Arthropoda; Insecta; Hymenoptera; Braconidae
Exons: 3
Source: RefSeq, a predicted model, not a curated record
AAAUAAGUAACUAAUAGAUAAAUAAGGACUUCAACUAUUAGAUAAAAAUUAAUUUUAUGCGUAAUCUAAUAUUUUUUAUUUAACAUUGAUGGCGAAAGGACCUCCU